Molecule: ribosomal RNA, 387 nt
Filed under: uncultured bacterium
Lineage: Bacteria
Description: bacterial SSU rRNA
Rfam family: Archaeal small subunit ribosomal RNA
Source: RNAcentral
GCGCGAAGCCUCCGCAAUGCGAGCAAUCGCGACGGGGGGACCCCAAGUGCUACUCUUAACGGGGUAGCUUUUCUAAAGUGUAAAAAGCUUCAGGAAUAAGGGCUGGGCAAGACCGGUGCCAGCCGCCGCGGUAACACCGGCAGCUCAAGUGGUGGCCGCUUUUAUUGGGCCUAAAGCGUUCGUAGCCGGCCUGAUAAGUCUCUGGUGAAAUCCCGCAGCUUAACUGUGGGAAUUGCUGGAGAUACUAUCAGGCUUGAGGCCGGGAGAGGCUGGAGGAACUCCCAGGGUAGGGGUGAAAUCCUAUAAUCCUGGGAGGACCACCUGUGGCGAAGGCGUCCAGCUGGAACGGACCUGACGGUGAGGAACGAAAGCCAGGGGCGCGAACCG